This 497-nucleotide ribosomal RNA is filed under the name uncultured bacterium. RNAcentral's name for it is "partial 16S ribosomal RNA". It matches the Rfam family "Bacterial small subunit ribosomal RNA", at positions 28 to 507 of the family's 1533-position model. The record is from RNAcentral.
GACGAACGCUGGCGGCGUGCCUAAUACAUGCAAGUUGAGCGCUGAAGGUUGGUACUUGUACCAACUGGAUGAGCAGCGAACGGGUGAGUAACGCGUGGGGAAUCUGCCUUUGAGCGGGGGACAACAUUUGGAAACGAAUGCUAAUACCGCAUAAAAACUUUAAACACAAGUUUUAAGUUUGAAAGAUGCAAUUGCAUCACUCAAAGAUGAUCCCGCGUUGUAUUAGCUAGUUGGUGAGGUAAAGGCUCACCAAGGCGAUGAUACAUAGCCGACCUGAGAGGGUGAUCGGCCACAUUGGGACUGAGGCACGGCCCAAACUCCUACGGGAGGCAGCAGUAGGGAAUCUUCGGCAAUGGACGAAAGUCUGACCGAGCAACGCCGCGUGAGUGAAGAAGGUUUUCGGAUCGUAAAACUCUGUUGGUAGAGAAGAACGUUGGCGAGAGUGGAAAGCUCAUCAAGUGACGGUAACUACCCAGAAAGGGACGGCUAACUACGUG